Molecule: long non-coding RNA, 1270 nt
Filed under: Sus scrofa (pig)
Lineage: Eukaryota; Metazoa; Chordata; Mammalia; Artiodactyla; Suidae
Description: lncRNA (ENSSSCG00025044103.1, ENSSSCG00045033538.1)
Source: RNAcentral
UUAUUAUAGUAAAAGGACACUUGGAUAUUCUCCUUAAAGGAAUGUUGACAAGAUUACCAAGUAUGCUUUCUCAUCACUGUAUAUUUUAAAUGGCUCAGCUAUGACUCCCACGUUUGUUUGAGAAUCAUUGAAGCUGCUUGAAUGGAACUGGGAUAUCCUUUGUUCCCACUGAUUUGGAAACAAAUGACUCAGGAAAAAAAGUUUACUUUGCUGCUAAAUGCCAUAUGCAGAUGAACGUAUUGCUGAUUAAAUUAAACCAAGGAUCUGAAGACUUUUUCAAGUCAUAGAAAGAAUGCUCUCGUUGUUACGGUACAUGUUCCAAUUUGCCCUCCCGUUUUCGUUUAUCCUACUGGGCUUGGGUCCGACAUAGGGUUACUUACGUCACACACCCGAGUCUUCAGGAAUAAUAAAGCGUAAUCAAUACGGGAGAGGCAGCAUCAAAGACGACAAAAGAUGCUGUGUUGUUUCUGAGGUGGAAAAGAAGCACAUGGACAUAAGCAGGCAGUGCCCUCUGCUCAUUUUCUCCUCUCUUCAUCUUUUCCAGUUUCUCAAGGCUGAGGGUCUCAUCUCGUGGCACUGCUGACAUUGGGAUUGUUGUGCCUUGUGGGGUGUUUAUCAGCUUCCCUGGCCUGGACCACCACAUGCCAGCAGCACCCUGUUUGCAGUCAUGACAAGCAGCUUUCCCUCCUCCUACCCUGCUGCCACAUCACAUGUCCCCUAGAAGGGGGGAUCGUCACUGGCCAGCAGAUGAAGCAAAGAUCUGAAGAUUAACAAAACAAACAAAAAACCCAGAAAACUCCUCUGACACAAGAGAAACUUCUUGACAGUGUAAAAACUAAUCCACUUGGCUUCUAAGAAGUAGGCCUGAGCAGCUCAGAAUCAAAACACAGGAAGUAAGUUGUAAAUGGCAGAAUGAAUAAAAACUACUUGGGGGGGGGGGGGGAAACAGAACCUGCUCUUUAACUGUCACAUUUCCAAGUGGGGAGGGAGCUCAGGGGGUGAGAGUGUUCAUCCAGUGGCUCCGUUUGCAAGAAAGAAAACAGCCAGGAUACAACUCAGUAAACUUAAAAAGCCAUUGAAUCACACACUUAAAAUGGGUGAAUUUUAUGGCACGUAAAUUAUGUCUCAAUUAAGGUGUUAAAAAAGGUAAAGUCAACUUAGCAGUUAAAAGUUGUUUGAUUUUGCCCUGGGUCAGCCAGUACGGGUUCCACUCUUGUGCGUGCAUGUGUGCGUGGUUGAAAAAUGUGGUGUGUGUGUCUGGAGCACCCCA